CUUCAUGUUGUAAAAAACGGAAGAUGACUCGGUUGGGUCUUUCAUUUAUUAGAUUGUUGUUAAGGUAUUGGCUUAACAAGUCUUUGACGAAUAACGGAGAAUUAGGGUUCGAUUCCGGAUAAGGAGCCGGAGGGACGGCUACUACAUCUAAGGAAGGCAGCAGGCGCGUAAAUUUCCCAAUGUACAUUGUACGAGGAAGUGACGAUCAAUAAUAAUGUGCGAGGUUUACCUUGUGCAAUUAGAAUGACCUAAAGUUAAAACGCUAAAGAACGAUCAAUUGGAGGGCAAGUCUGGUGCCAGCAGCCGCGGUAAUUCCAGCUCCAAUAGGAUAUAUCAAAGUUGUUGCAGUUGAAAAGCUCGUAGUCGUAUUUCUGGUGAGUCGAUGUAUUUUCAAGACGAUAAGUAAUUGUUGUUUUUUGAUACCGCUUGCCAUUUUGUGGGUAAAAGUGUUUUCAAUUUUCGCAAGAUAGUUGAUUGCAUUCCACUCCGUCACUGAGAGCAAAUUGGAGUGCUCAAAGCAGGCUUUUAUAGCUUUGAACAUCUUAGCUUGGAAUGACAAAGUAUGACAAUUCGUUCACUUUGUUGGUUAUGAAUGAAAUGUAAUGAUAAAUAGGAACAGAGCGGGGGUACUGGUACUUUAAAGUCAGAGGUGAAAUUCUUGGAUUUUUAAACGACCAACGACUGCGAAAGCAUUUACCAAGUAUGUUUUCAUUGAUCAAGAACGAAAGUGCGAGGUUCGAAGAUGAUUAGAUACCAUCGUAGUUUGCACUAUAAACGAUGCCGACUCGGAAUUGAGAUUUAUUCGAUUUUAGAAGAAUCUCAGCGCCGUAUGUGAAAACAAAGUCUUUGGGUUCCGGGGGGAGUAUGGUCGCAAGAGUGAAACUUAAAGGAAUUGACGGAAGAAUACACCAGAAUUGGAACGUGCGGUUUAAUUUGACCCAACACGGGGAAACUCACCAGGUCCAGACAUGAGAAGGAUUGACAGUUUGAAAGCAUUUUCUUGAUUUCAUGGUUGGUGGUGCAUGGCCGUUCUUAGUUGGUGGAGUGAUUUGUCUGGUUGAUUCCGAUAACGAACGAGACUCUCAGAGUAAACUGGUAUUGUUAUAAUUCGCGUUAUUUCGUACCUCUUUUCUCGACUAUUCGUUUCAAACGAAAGGAAGCAGAGAGCAAUAACAGGUCUGUGAUGCCCCUCGAUGUUCUGGGCUACACGCGCGUUACAAUGACAAGUUCAACGAGUUUAUUUUCCUUGUCCGGAAGGAUGUGGGUAAUCUUUUCAAUGCUUGUCGUGAUGGGGCUUGAUUUUUGCAAUUAUUAAUCAUCAACGAGGAAUUUCUAGUACGUGCAAUUCAUCAGAUUGCGCAGAAUGCGUCCCUGUUCUUUGUACACACCGCCCGUCGCACCUACCGAUUGGACGAUCCGGCAAGAAGUUUGGAGUUGUGUUUAUGAGAAUUUCGGUUUUUGUCAACGUAAUAAAGCUCUUCAAACCUUAUCGUCUAGAGGAAGGUGAAGUCGUAACAAGGUC
RNAcentral lists this ribosomal RNA (1522 nucleotides) under metagenome. RNAcentral's name for it is "SSU rRNA". It matches the Rfam family "Eukaryotic small subunit ribosomal RNA", at positions 270 to 1801 of the family's 1831-position model. The record is from RNAcentral.